UCCGAGUUGACCCCGGCAGUCUUCUACGAGUCCCCGGCAUAAUCCGCUGGCAACAUAGAAUAAGGGUUGCGCUCGUUGCGGGACUUAACCCGACAUCUCACGACACGAGCUGACGACAACCAUGCACCACCUGUAUACCGACCUUGCGGGGAGACUGUUUCCAGCCUUUACCGGUAUAUGUCAAGCCUUGGUAAGGUUCUUCGCGUUGCAUCGAAUUAAUCCGCAUGCUCCGCCGCUCGUGCGGGCCCCCGUCAAUUCCUUUGAGUUUCGGUCUUGCGACCGUACUCCCCAGGCGGAGUGUUUCACGCGUUAGCUGGGCCCCUGAUCCACGUAGACCAAGGGCGAACACUCAUCGUUUACGGCAUGGACUAC
This 372-nucleotide unclassified non-coding RNA is filed under the name uncultured Actinomycetes bacterium. Its description in RNAcentral is "uncultured actinobacterium contains 16S-23S intergenic spacer region". Lineage: Bacteria; Bacillati; Actinomycetota; Actinomycetes. The record is from RNAcentral.